Acanthosepion pharaonis is the source of this 100-nucleotide non-coding RNA. Lineage: Eukaryota; Metazoa; Mollusca; Cephalopoda; Sepiida; Sepiidae. The record is from the annotation of a GenBank genome assembly.
CAUUGAAAUUCUGGUUCGCGUACGAUCACCUAAGUUAAGCAACCUCAAGCCUGGUCAGUACCUAGACAGGUGACCGCUUGGGAAUACCAAGUGAUGCAAG